This is a long non-coding RNA of Arabidopsis thaliana (thale cress), 205 nucleotides long. RefSeq annotates it as other RNA. Lineage: Eukaryota; Viridiplantae; Streptophyta; Magnoliopsida; Brassicales; Brassicaceae. The transcript has a single exon. The record is from RefSeq.
UAGCGUCGACGCAUCUUUCGAUUGUAGAAACAGAUACCUUGCCUUGGUGGCUCUUGUCAAAGCAGCUAAAGACUCGUUGAUACUCAUCACGUUUGUUAACGUUCUCACUCUUCAUAGAAGAUCGAUGAAGAAGACUUGAGCGAGAGAUAGGAGAAAAUGAUUAUAGUUUGAAGACUAUUACUUGUUCAGUUUGGCAAAAUAUAUA